UCUCUCGACUCUCUCUCUCUCCCCUCUCGACUCCGCCGCCGGCGCCGCUGCCCCACGCCGGCCCGUCGCCGCCCACCCUCGCUGCUGCCCCGCGCCCUAGUUCUUCUCUGUUCGAUUGGUCGAGCCCUAGUUCUUCUCUGUUCGGUACAACGCAGCCGUCGCCAUCUCAGGGAGACCGGCGAGCUACGCGACCUAGAGCCCGCCCAUCGUUGCUGGUGGUCCGAGGAUCGGCGAGCCGAUGGUGUUCUACGGCCGGUUCUCUUCUCAACUCCACAUAAUCGAGGCAGGAAAGGGGGAAAGCCCUAAUUCUCCGAUUUGCAAUCGAGAGCGGAUGAGGUUGAUAAUUCUCC
Molecule: long non-coding RNA, 350 nt
Filed under: Salvia miltiorrhiza (redroot sage)
Lineage: Eukaryota; Viridiplantae; Streptophyta; Magnoliopsida; Lamiales; Lamiaceae
Description: long non-coding RNA (SMIL_LNC012783)
Source: RNAcentral